Molecule: long non-coding RNA, 586 nt
Organism: Salmo salar (Atlantic salmon)
Lineage: Eukaryota; Metazoa; Chordata; Actinopteri; Salmoniformes; Salmonidae
Source: RefSeq, a predicted model, not a curated record
UUGAUUCUGCUUAUUACUCUGAGAUGCAUAACACAUGUACUGGAAAAUCCCCACAAGUGGCCCAGUCAGAGCUUGAACGGACUUGAACCCAAUCUAACUUUAGAGGAUAUGCAGAGAAGAAUGGGAGAAACUCCCAAAAUACAGCUGUGCCAAGCUUGUAGCGUCAUACCGGAGAAAACUACAGGCUGUAAUCGCUGCAAAAGGUCCUUCAACAAAGUACUAAGUUAACAAAGAAUCACCGCUGCUUCCCAUGCUGCCAAUCACUAGCAGUGCAGCCAGCAAAACAGUGCAUCGGACAGCACAAGGAAAAUGCUACAAGUACAGAUGUGACAAGUGAAAACAAAUCAUCUAAACUGGGGAUAGUUAGCUAGAUUAAUGUCACAAGCAUGAUGAGUUCACCAAUGACUUUAGUUCCACUUGAAGGUCCAAAAUCAUGUGAUGAAAUCCUGGAAUCUCAUUGUUGCAGUCCUCCCCAAUAGCAAGCAUGUAAUAGCUGGUAAUGAGCAGCUGAUGGCAAAGCAGCAGGCAACUGAACUGCUUGUUUUGAACAAUAUAUUUUUGAAACAGUAAAAUGUACACAAAUGAA